This 253-nucleotide ribosomal RNA is filed under the name uncultured bacterium. RNAcentral's name for it is "partial 16S ribosomal RNA". It matches the Rfam family "Bacterial small subunit ribosomal RNA", at positions 524 to 776 of the family's 1533-position model. The record is from RNAcentral.
UACGUAGGGGGCAAGCGUUGUCCGGAAUCAUUGGGCGUAAAGCGCGUGUAGGCGGCCCGAUAAGUCUGCUGUGAAAGUCCAGGGCUCAACCCUGGGAUGCCGGUGGAUACUGUCGAGCUCGAGUCCGGAAGAGGCGAGUGGAAUUCCUGGUGUAGCGGUGAAAUGCGCAGAUAUCAGGAGGAACACCUAUAGCGAAGGCAGCUUGCUGGGACGGUACUGACGCUAAGGCGCGAAAGCGUGGGGAGCGAACAGG